Paramisgurnus dabryanus is the source of this 3865-nucleotide non-coding RNA. NCBI's taxonomy places the organism in Eukaryota, Metazoa, Chordata, Actinopteri, Cypriniformes, Cobitidae. The record is from RefSeq and is a predicted model, not a curated record.
GUAUAUUAUUAAUAUGAGCGUCUUUGCGUUAAAUUCGUGCUACACCACACCAUGCACUUAUAUCGACGUCGCAAUGCAAAAGAAGAAGGGCAAGAAAGAAACCUGUCCUGGUCUGGCGAUUUAAGGGGACAUUUGUUUAAGCCUGUCUAGAUCUUUUAUCAGUCUAGAAAGAUGUUGGAGAAAAGACAUCAUCCUCUUCUAUAAUCUCCAUCUGUAAUUGGACUAACAACUGGACCAGUGAAUGCAGGCAACUUACUCUCCAUUCGACCUUGCAGGUCACACCAUGGUCUCAAGAGGGAAAAUGAGUGCUCUAUGGAUUGAACAGAAAAAGGUGAAUCAAAACUCCAACCAUCUGUAUGAGGGUCUGGAUGGAUAAAGGAUGCCCACUGGAGCUGGAAAUGAUGGAUCAGGUCAUUUUCAUUUGUCACAUUUACAAAGAAGCACACUCUAAGGAUUGCGUUACCCUGUCUGUGGCAAAUACACUAGACAAAAGUAUUGGGAGGCCUCAUUCUAAUAAACAUGUUUAUUUAUUCCAGUAUGUCCAAUCAAAACAAAUAAAAAUGCUAUACCAUAUAAUACCACUACAAAUAAUUUUGAUUUUUGUUGCAACAGUUUUGUAAGUGCCUUUUUCUGUUCCGAAAUGACUACAGCUUCUUGUACAAGUUAUUGAUAGGUUUAGGUGAUGAGUUUUUGGCUAAAAACCUUUGAGUCAUAUCAAAGGUGUUAGCUGAGUUAAGGUCUGGGGUUUAUUCAGACCAGUCAAAGUUCUUCCACACCAGACUGAAUCACUAAUUUUCUGUUUGAACCUUACUUUGUUUGUAGGGUCAUUCUUAAGUUGGUAUUGAAAAGGGCCCUGCCAAAACUCUUGCUAUAAAUUUAGCAUCAAACGGUUUUUCUAGAAUAUCAUAUGCUGUAGCAUUAAGAUUUGUGCUCAUGGAAAUAAGUAAAGUAUUUAAACCUGUUUAUUAGAAGGAGGUGUCGCAAUAGUUAUGUCUAUAUAGUUUAUGUUUAACAAGCCAAAAUAACUAGGGCUGCUUCUUUUUAAGAACUUUUGGGUAUUUUUAAAUCAGCCAGAGGAAUAACAGUCCUUAAAUGUGUAAUGUACUGCCAUAAUUUUGUAAUGAUCAAACGUGAGGUCAGAUUCUUGUUAACCUACUGUGUUCUUUCUUGAUGGUUAGCCGAGUGUCCCAGGACAGAAAAUCUGUUUCGUAUGGAUCAGAGUCAGACAUUAACAUCUAAUAUGUAAUAUCUAGUGAUAUGUUUUCUUAGAUAAUGCUGUGAACAAAUGCUCUUUUACCUUGAAUAUUAGGUGGAUCCACACUUGAACCAUCUGUAUGAUGAUCUGCACCCACUGGAUCUGUAAAUGGUGGUGCAGAAAGACACAGCACAUCAUUAUAUCGUUGGCUCCGCCCACUGGUGUUCAGUCUAAAGUAGUAGUUGUUGACAAUCAUAAAGUUGUAAUAACAGUAAGAUUGUGAUGUCAGACAAACAUUGUGCUGUUGCUGGCUGUGGGAAAUUAGUGUCUUUGUAAGGGUCGCAAAUAAUUUGAAAAUAUUUAUGUUUCUAAAUAUGCCCCCCUACCAUGAACUAAACUGGACUGUUGCAGAGACCAAGUGUAGUAGGGUACACUACUAUGCAGAAUUCUGGCCUGGUGUUUGGUCCCCCUUUCUCUGGCUUGUGUCUCCAUCAUCAUUACACUCUUGUCAGUGUAAAAGUAUCCUCGUCUGCGUACCAGGACUUUGUUACUCAGCUGUCCCUUCUCCUUCAAGCUACAUUUUUGUCAAGCUGCAACAAGUUGGAAUACAUAAUUAUUAACGUUUAAUGAUUUUGAUGUAUGAAAUAUGUAACAAAAGCAAAAAAUGUAUAGACAUUCUAUUAAGAAAUUACCUUUUUGUUGUUUGUUUACUGACCUUUCAACCAUAUUGCAUUUAUAAUUGAUCAUCAUACCUUUGGUCUACUGUUAACAGGCUACUGUAGAAAACAAAGUCAAACAAAAAAGAGAGAAAAAAUUAUAAAUGCUGAAUGUGUCUCAUCUUAAAUACAUUGUUGUUGUUUUUGUUUCAUUGAUUUUGGAUGUUUUGAUGAUUUAAGGAAAAUUUACGUAGCAUAUAUAUUGAUGUUUUAAAUCAGAGUUUGUUAAUGACACUUAAUCAUUAACAAACAUUUAAAAAGCUUUAUUACAAUACUAAUUGAUAAUAUAUAUGUAAUAAUCUUGUUUUGUAACACCCUAAAUCACUGAGCGCACAAACGCUACCCCUGUUACAAGCAUGAGUGAUUGACUUCAGGCACACAUGCGCAGACAUUGAAGUACCGCGAGAGUGAUUCAAAAGCCCACGAAACAGUGUAAUCACGCGGUACUGUGAUGUCAUACUGGUUAAGGCUAAGCCACGUGAAGCCGGACACAAGGGCUUUGGGCUGGAGUAGCCUGUGGCUUUUAAGGCUUCGUGUCUCAUCGCGUUAAACGAUCGCAGAACGAUUUAUUUCUCUUUUUCACCUCGAUCUUUGGCCUCGUGUGAUUUACCAAAACCAACAUGUGAAGUUACAACGCUGACGAAGGAGUUUCAUCAGUAGAGUGUGUCCUGGAAAACGUGUGCUCGGAAACAUGCAGAAUACAGUAUUUACAGAGCCGACCUUGAGGCACCCACUGAUGGAUAAUCUGUUUACCUAAAAACAGCCCACCACAAUCCAUGUUUACCAGCUGUGAAAGUGCAGGCCAAAAAUCUUCCUUCACCUGUGGGCCUCUACCCACAUGUAGAUAAGCAUUUCAGGAGAAACCUGCCUGUGAUCUGCUAAGAUGCACAGAUUCAACUCUGGCCCAUUGUCAUCCCAACACCUCAUCUGCCAUCAGUUUCGUUUAGUGUCGGUCUAUUGCAAAAGUUCUUAUAAACUUUAAAUGAGACUUUGUGUUAAGCAGGGGUUUCCAAACUUUUCAUUCCACAACAUAUUAAGCCCAGGAUACACAGCAGGAUUUUUGCAAUCCAAUAAGACCUUAUCACACUGUGUGACAAGGAUUGUUUAAACUUCAGCAGUAGACUGUCGAUGAAGACACCUAUUGCAUCUGAAGCUGCGACAUCUGUCAUCAACAUGCGCUAGUGGUAAACAAAUACAGGUAUGCAGGUCGUAGAAGCAAACACAUUGUUGAUGUGCGUUGAUCAUGCUGAACUUCUUACACUGUCAUAAAACUAUCGUAGGUGUCUUUGGUCCCAGGACUGGGAAAACAGACGUCUUUAAACCUCUCACACUGUAUGAGAUAGGACCACCAAUUAAGAGCCACGAUCACAGAAAUCUCCACAAUUGUUUCACGAUUGGUAAUCUUUCAUCUGGGACAGCCAAAAAUCGUGCCGUGUAUUAUGGGCUUUAGACAGGUGUAAUCUUAUAGUAUAUCAAAACCAUUGCUAAUAAUUAAUUGGACAAACCAUCACUACAAUGCAACACUCACUAUCUUACGGUGCGACCCACAAGUGGGUCUUCACCCACAGUUUAAAAACCCUGAGUAUGAGAAAGAGUAUGUUGUAUUGUAAUUAAAGUCACAUCUAAGUGUUAUGGAACAGUUUGUCAUUAUAUUCAAAGUAUUACAUGGUUCUUUCAGCAGUUACUACGUUACAGUGCUCUUAAAGUGUCCUGAUCAGCUUUGGGUCUUGUGAAGUAAUAUAAUGAGAACGUGAUCAAUAGCUUUGCAGUAUUUUGUUACACUGUGGCUGUAAUCAUAUUAACACAUAGGUUAAACAUUUUAUUCAAAUUUGGUAAACAAACUAGUCAAUAUAAUUCAUGCUGUGAUGCUGGAUUAAACCUGGUCAAAUGAUUGUGUAUUGUGUUUUCAAUUUUUUAUGAGGUUUCUUCAUCUAUAUAAACAUUCUCAAUAUCA